GAUGGUCAUCGCGCCCUGAUGUUUCCUCCCGAGACGAUCUCUUGCCCGGCGCUUGCGUCGGGCUUUUUUUUCGCCGGG
This 78-nucleotide unclassified non-coding RNA is filed under the name Bradyrhizobium sp. ORS 285. Its description in RNAcentral is "suhB". Lineage: Bacteria; Pseudomonadati; Pseudomonadota; Alphaproteobacteria; Hyphomicrobiales; Nitrobacteraceae. The record is from RNAcentral.